CGCAUGGCUGCACUGAUUCACUCUGAAGUGCAUCCACUCUCACUGUGCUACUCUCAGCUAACCUCAGCUUCUUUUAUAGCCUGAUACUCUGCCUCUCUCUCCACGUGACUCUGGGAUUAUUUCUGUCCACCAAAAUGAAGCUGAGAGAGAAACAGAAGGGCUGCAGGAGCACAGAGAGGGAAUAACAGGAACAGAAUAAGCUUCUGAAAUCUUUUAUACUUCCUGACAGUUUGAUAAACAUCUGUGAUAAUUAGUCAGACAUGAACGAUGUGUUUGCAGAGCACAGAAAUAGUUUGAUCAUCCUCACUUGCUGGCAUGGCUCCAUCGCAGCAGGAACACCGUCAGCCCUCAGGCGCUAUUUGCUCUGCUGUCAUCAUGUCCCCAUAAUCCCUGCUCUGCAGAGGACCCUGCACAUGUUCUGGUACAGCUUGAGGAACUGUAUCGCUCUUUGAUGAUUAGGAGUUGAGAGCAGCUUCAGGAAUAUAAAGCUGGCGUCAGGUCACGGUGAGGCGAUCUCAGCCACAGCUGGAAACAGCAGCAUGAUGAUGCCGACUCUGUCUGCUGUAGCGAGGAGGGAGCCAAGUGACCCACAAAAUGAGAUCGAGCAGUGGAAAUCUUCCGAGGGCUCGUGCUGAGUAAGGAGCUGGCUGAUCCAGGAGCAGUGCUUCAGCCACUGAGCUGGAUGCCUCCUGGACCUGGGUGAGGUGUUUUUCCACUGAGGCUGACUCUGGCAGAGGGAGGGACCCUCACAGAUGGACCGACGCCCACUGACUGAUGUUUUCAAAACACAUGUAUUAGGCUGAGCUUGAAUAUAAUAACUAACAUAUUACUGUAGGUGGCGUCCAAUGGUGGACCAGAGUGCAGAGCAUGAAGCUGGUGUCUGAACGCAUCCUGGUCUGUGAUGAUGUGAAGCCUCAAUCUCUCAGUCAUUUACUCUGAAACACGCUCAGUCACUGAAUACACUAGAAUAUUUUACAUCUCUACUCUCACUCCCACGGUCACAGCAGGAAGCCAGGGUCCAGAGGAGCCGUCUGACUGAUUGAGAGGAAACAUUUUCUCAAAAUGUUUCCCUCGUCUGUUAUUGAUCAGCUCAGUGUUUAACUGUCUUUAACAGUGUUUGUGGAGAUACUUGACCCAAACCCUCAGCCUCGACCUGUCUUUGUUGCCCCUGUUGGGGGAAUAUUUGCUCUCUGUGCUGCGGCGGCUCACCCACGUAUACUGAAGGUGACAAAGAGCUUGGCUGGGUCUGCACUCUGAGAAACGAGGCUGGGGUUCAAGCUUCACCAUGGAAACGAACCAGCAAACGCAUUUUCUGUAAGAAGAUGAAGGACAGCAGCAUGAUGUGUUUGUCACAGUUGAGAUCACAGACAGAUGUGGACAGAGGUUCAGUCCCAACAUAACAGGAUGUUCUGCUUUAGUCGUUGCUUUUUGGUGGAUUUUGUUUUGCACAAGAGUGACAAGAAUGACUCAGAAUGCUCUUCUCUCCCAGACUGAGCUCAUUUUAGUUUGAUUUGAGCCUUUUAGCUCCAGAGUCAGCCAAGAGGCAAAACAUCAAAGUAAAAUCAAAUGUUUCUGCAAAUCUCAUAAAAGAAAUAAAAUGAGGUGAUCAGCCUGGGUCCAUUCUCAGAGCAGCUCACCUGAGCUCACCUGCAUCACAGUAGGCUCAGCCAAAGAAGAAAGAGGCCCACAACAGAGAACUGCAACCUGUGAAAAAAACUUCCUGGAAAUAAAAUGGACUGUCUCCAUACAGAUCCUGAUGUGAUGGAGGACUCUCAGCUGUAUUUCAUGCUGUUUAACUAAAGUAUUGCAGUAACUGUUCUGGGGUUACGGCCAUUGUACACAUAUACGUAACACACAAUGCUGUCCGUAAACAUUUGGACCUGAGCACUUUUAAGUGAAGCUGUGAGCUCGCUCUGUUCUCUGGAGUCUGCAGGUCUGCGGUGAUCCUGGAGCUGGAUCCUGAACCAAGUGCAGGAAGCGUCUGUGGAUUCAUUGCAGGCUGAAACACGUUCAGCGAAGGCGUGCUCUCUGUUCACUCUGCUUUGUCACCGUGAGGCCGUUACCUGCACAAAGGCUAUGUUUGCACUAUCACACCUGCUCUGACCUUUGUCCUCACACACAGCAAAAGACCAAAAGUGAAUGUAAAAGCUUUGCUGCUCUAUGAGCACACUCUGAGAUUACAGCAGACUCGGACCGUGAUAGGAUGACUGGACUUCACAGGUCAUUACAGGCUCCUCCUCAAACAUGGAAAGUACAGAGAGGCUGAAAGAGGCGGAGCCUGAAUUUCAUCCAGCACGCUCAUAGCUCACCGCUGCAGCACUCUCGCUUUUACUCUGCCAAUAUUAGUGUCAGCUACAUUCUGUAUUUUUGUGCCGUUUAGGAAUUGUGGGAAAAAGUCACACUGAUGAUGUAGAGGUCUCAAAUACUCACCGAUGCACACGGGCGGCUGCUGUGUCUGCUUCGGACUAUUCCUCACCCCACACCCAACCCUGUGGCUUGUCACGUGUUCCAUAAUGUUGUGCUGUGGACAUUUAUGUGCUUUUUUUUGUGCAGAGGAGUUUUUUUGUUUCCUGUUCUCAUGCUGUCCUCCCAUGGGAGCCCAGCAUGAGUAGAGGUUUCUUUUUUUCCUCUUGUACUUUCCCAUUGUAGUGUACAUUUCAGUGACUGAUCUCCGACUUGUAUCCCCAUGUAAUGUC
Long non-coding RNA from Pelmatolapia mariae (spotted tilapia), 2696 nucleotides. RefSeq lists it as uncharacterized. NCBI's taxonomy places the organism in Eukaryota, Metazoa, Chordata, Actinopteri, Cichliformes, Cichlidae. The transcript is spliced from 3 exons. The record is from RefSeq and is a predicted model, not a curated record.